AGAGUUUGAUCCUGGCUCAGAACGAACGCUGGCGGCGUGCUUAACACAUGCAAGUCGCACGAGAAUUGGGAGCUUGCUCCCAUAGUAAAGUGGCGCACGGGUGAGUAAUACGUAGGUAACCUACCUUUGAGAGGGGGACAACAUUCCGAAAGGAGUGCUAAUACCCCAUAAGACCACGGCUUCCACGGAGGCCGGGGUAAAAGAUGACCUCUUCAUGAAAGUUGUCGCUCAAAGAUGGGCCUACGCACCAUUAGCUUGUUGGUGAGGUAAAAGCUCACCAAGGCUGAGAUGGUUAGCUGGUCUGAGAGGAUGAUCAGCCACACUGGAACUGAAACACGGUCCAGACUCCUACGGGAGGCAGCAGUGGGGAAUAUUGCGCAAUGGGGGAAACCCUGACGCAGCAACGCCGCGUGAGUGAUGAAGGCCUUCGGGUUGUAAAGCUCUGUCAAGAUGGGAAGAAACGCGGUUGGCUAAUAUCCAACCGCNUGA
Molecule: ribosomal RNA, 489 nt
Filed under: uncultured bacterium
Lineage: Bacteria
Description: bacterial SSU rRNA
Rfam family: Bacterial small subunit ribosomal RNA
Source: RNAcentral